This 277-nucleotide ribosomal RNA is filed under the name uncultured eukaryote. Its description in RNAcentral is "partial 18S ribosomal RNA". It matches the Rfam family "Eukaryotic small subunit ribosomal RNA", at positions 21 to 310 of the family's 1831-position model. The record is from RNAcentral.
UAGUCAUAUGCUUGUCUGAAGGACUAAGCCAUGCAUGUCUAAGUAUAAGCAAUUUAUACUUGUGAAACUGCGAAUGGCUCAUUAAAUCAGUUAUAGUUUAUUUGAUAUUUACUUGCUACAUGGAUACCGGUGGCAAAGUACCGCUAAUACAUGCAAAAACCCUUCACGGGGUGUAUUUAUUAGAUACGCAAACCAACCUGGGCAACCAGAGUAUGCUGAAUCAUAAUAACUUCACGAAUCGCAUGCGCAAGCGGCGAUGAAUCAUUCAAAUUUCUGC